CGCAAGGGUGAGUAAAGCGGCGCACGGGUGAGUAACACGUGGGUAAUCUUCCUUGGAGCCCGGAAUAACUCCCCGAAAGGGGUGCUAAUGCCGGAUGAGACCACGGGAUCUCCGGAUCCUGAGGGAAAAGGCGGCCUCUGUACACAAGCUGUCACUCCAAGAUGAGCCCGCGGCCCAUCAGCUAGUUGGCGGGGUAAUGGCCCACCAAGGCAUCGACGGGUAGCUGGUCUGAGAGGACGAUCAGCCACACUGGAACUGAGACACGGUCCAGACUCCUACGGGAGGCAGCAGUGGGGAAUUUUGCGCAAUGGGCGAAAGCCUGACGCAGCAACGCCGCGUGUGUGAUGAAGGUCUUCGGAUCGUAAAGCACUGUCGGGAGGGACGAAUAAGGCGGCGGCUAAUAUCCGCAGCCGAUGACGGUACCUCCAAAGGAAGCACCGGCUAACUCUGUGCCAGCAGCCGCGGUAAUACAGAGGGUGCAAGCGUUGUUCGGAAUUAUUGGGCGUAAAGCGCGUGUAGGCGGCCUUGCAAGUUGGGUGUGAAAGCCCUCGGCUUAACCGAGGAAGUGCGCCCAAAACUACAGGGCUUGAGUACCGGAGAGGGUGGCGGAAUUCCCGGUGUAGAGGUGAAAUUCGUAGAUAUCGGGAGGAACACCAGUGGCGAAGGCGGCCACCUGGACGGAUACUGACGCU
RNAcentral lists this ribosomal RNA (692 nucleotides) under uncultured bacterium. Its description in RNAcentral is "bacterial SSU rRNA". It matches the Rfam family "Bacterial small subunit ribosomal RNA", at positions 78 to 747 of the family's 1533-position model. The record is from RNAcentral.